This 76-nucleotide transfer RNA is filed under the name Sediminibacterium ginsengisoli. RNAcentral describes it as "tRNA_Thr_TGT". It matches the Rfam family "tRNA". Rfam says of the family: Transfer RNA (tRNA) molecules are approximately 80 nucleotides in length. Their secondary structure includes four short double-helical elements and three loops (D, anti-codon, and T loops). Lineage: Bacteria; Pseudomonadati; Bacteroidota; Chitinophagia; Chitinophagales; Chitinophagaceae. The record is from RNAcentral. RNAcentral also lists the same sequence under 1 other name.
GCCGAAGUAGCUCAGUUGGUAGAGCAACUGAUUUGUAAUCAGUAGGUCGCGGGUUCGAGUCCCAUCUUCGGCUCAA